RNAcentral lists this ribosomal RNA (497 nucleotides) under uncultured bacterium. Its description in RNAcentral is "partial 16S ribosomal RNA". It matches the Rfam family "Bacterial small subunit ribosomal RNA", at positions 28 to 507 of the family's 1533-position model. The record is from RNAcentral.
GAUGAACGCUGGCGGCGUGCCUAAUACAUGCAAGUCGAGCGAACGGACGAGAAGCUUGCUUCUCUGAUGUUAGCGGCGGACGGGUGAGUAACACGUGGAUAACCUACCUAUAAGACUGGGAUAACUUCGUGAAACCGGAGCUAAUACCGGAUAAUAUUUUGAACCGCAUGGUUCAAUAGUGAAAGACGGUCUUGCUGUCACUUAUAGAUGGAUCCGCGCUGCAUUAGCUAGUUGGUAAGGUAACGGCUUACCAAGGCAACGAUGCAUAGCGGACAUGAGAGGAUGAGAGGCCACACUGGGAAUGAGGCGCGGUCCUGACUCCGAGAGGAGGCGCCAGGAGGGAAUCUUCCGGGAUGAACGAAAGCCUGACGGAGCAGCGCCGCGUGAGUGAUGGAGUUGUUCGGAUCUUAAAACUUUGUUAUGAGAGAAGAACAUAUGUGUACGUAACUGUGCACAUCUUGACGGUACCUAAUCAGAAAGCCACGGCUAACUACGUG